This 25-nucleotide unclassified non-coding RNA is filed under the name Mus musculus (house mouse). RNAcentral's name for it is "oocyte_clustered_small_RNA12423". The record is from RNAcentral. Lineage: Eukaryota; Metazoa; Chordata; Mammalia; Rodentia; Muridae.
UCAAUUGUAUUGGUUAGUUCUGUGU